Long non-coding RNA from Vigna unguiculata (cowpea), 407 nucleotides. Lineage: Eukaryota; Viridiplantae; Streptophyta; Magnoliopsida; Fabales; Fabaceae. The record is from RefSeq and is a predicted model, not a curated record.
AAUCUGAAUAUAGAGAAUAUUUAUCCAGAGAGACUUGUUUGUCAAAAAUUAUUCAUAAUAGAGUUGGCCUUGCAAUUAAUCUUACUUGUUUCUUUGAGAAGAUCAAAACAUAAUUUCUUUAGGAGAUAAAGAUGCCUUUCUUCAAGUUUGUUUUUCAUGUUCAUCAUCUCCUACAACAAUCAAAUCAUCAAUAUAGACCAAGGGCAGAGUAAAUUUAUCUUUCGGUGAAUACUUGAUGAACAAUGUAUGGACACCUUGACUCUUAUCGAUGCCCUACGGAGAUUAUAGCCAGAGCGAGUCUAUCUCCUUGUAAGGAUGUUUAUAGGAACAACAUAUUAAAAUAAAAUACAUAUCAAUAAAUGGGUUGGCAAUGGUUUCUUUAAGAAUAUUUUAAACCACAAAUUUUA